Vigna unguiculata (cowpea) is the source of this 302-nucleotide long non-coding RNA. NCBI's taxonomy places the organism in Eukaryota, Viridiplantae, Streptophyta, Magnoliopsida, Fabales, Fabaceae. The record is from RefSeq and is a predicted model, not a curated record.
AUCCUCAUCUUGUCCUUCUUAUUCAGAAUUGCAAAAUCAGGUCACUGCAUUAAAGUCACAAUUGGAUGAACAAAAUAAACGAAAUGAAGAACGUGACAAAAGACUUGAUGCAAUCAUGAACUUCUUUUCUCAAAAUUAUCAAGGUCAAUUGCCUCCUGAGUUGACUAUGUUCAAUCCUGCACCGGUUUCUGAUCAAGGAAGUGUGCCAACUAAUACAACAAGUUCUGGACAUGAGGAAAAUCAUAUGUGAUAGUUGAAGAAUAUAAUAUAAUGUGGAAGUUAAUUGAAUCAUUUUAUGUUUU